RNAcentral lists this ribosomal RNA (775 nucleotides) under uncultured Neocallimastigales. RNAcentral describes it as "partial large subunit ribosomal RNA". It matches the Rfam family "Eukaryotic large subunit ribosomal RNA", at positions 24 to 644 of the family's 3401-position model. Lineage: Eukaryota; Fungi; Neocallimastigomycota; Neocallimastigomycetes; Neocallimastigales. The record is from RNAcentral.
UUACGACUACAUAUCAGGCAUAUCAAUAAGCGGAGGAAAAGAAACUAACUAGGAUUCCCUCAGUAACGGCGAGUGAAGCGGGAAGAGCUCAAAUUUGAAAUCUUCAAGGUUUUACCUUGACGAAUUGUAGUUUAAAGAAGUGUUUUCUGUUGAAGUUUCGGUAAAAGUUCUUUGGAAUAGGACAUCAUAGAGGGUGAGAAUCCCGUAUUUGACCAUUUCUUCCAGCUGUGUGAUACACUUUCAAAGAGUCGGAUUGUUUGGGAAUGCAGUCCAAAAUGGGUGGUAAAUUUCAUCUAAAGCUAAAUAUUGGCGAGAGACCGAUAGCGAACAAGUACCGUGAGGGAAAGAUGAAAAGAACUUUGAAAAGAGAGUUAAACAGUACGUGAAAUUGUCAAAAGGGAAGCGUUUGACACCAGUGUUGUUUUCUUGAAAAUCAAUUAAAAAGUAUGGGAUUUUGUAUUGUUAAGACCUUAUCAGCUUACUGUACUUUUCUCUUGCUCUUUUUAAUGCACUUUUCGUUUAACAAGUCAACAUCAAUUUCUUUUGUUGUAAAAGGGUCAUUGGAAGGUGGCUUUCACUUCGGUGAAAGUGUUUAUAGCCUUUGGCUUCUGCAAUCGGAGAGAUUGAGGUCUGCAGCGUAGAUCCUUCGGGGUUAGAUACGUAGAUGCUAAGUUAUAGUUUUUCAUAGACAACUUGUUGACUAUGAUUAAUCAUGUAGCUUACUCGUUUGCGCUAUUUUACCUACGCUUAGGAUGUUGAAUCUGUGCGAGACUAC